This 427-nucleotide ribosomal RNA is filed under the name uncultured bacterium. RNAcentral describes it as "partial 16S ribosomal RNA". It matches the Rfam family "Bacterial small subunit ribosomal RNA", at positions 355 to 774 of the family's 1533-position model. The record is from RNAcentral.
UGGGGAAUAUUGCACAAUGGGCGCAAGCCUGAUGUAGCCAUGCCGCGUGUAUGAAGAAGGCCUUCGGGUUGUAAAGUACUUUCAGCGGGGAGGAAGGUGUUGAGGUUAAUAACCUCAGCAAUUGACGUUACCCGCAGAAGAAGCACCGGCUAACUCCGUGCCAGCAGCCGCGGUAAUACGGAGGGUGCAAGCGUUAAUCGGAAUUACUGGGCGUAAAGCGCACGCAGGCGGUCUGUCAAGUCGGAUGUGAAAUCCCCGGGCUCAACCUGGGAACUGCAUUCGAAACUGGCAGGCUAGAGUCUUGUAGAGGGGGGUAGAAUUCCAGGUGUAGCGGUGAAAUGCGUAGAGAUCUGGAGGAAUACCGGUGGCGAAGGCGGCCCCCUGGACAAAGACUGACGCUCAGGUGCGAAAGCGUGGGGAGCAAACA